CUUUACUGUAACCUGGAAUUGGGUUCGGGCUUUGCUUGCGCAGGAUAGGUGGGAGACUAAGAAGUUGCCCUCGUGGGGGCAAUGGAGUCACCGGUGAGAUACCACUCUGUCAGAGCUAGAAUUCUAACCGUUAGCCGUGACCCGGCAACGGAACAGUAUCAGGUGGGCAGUUUGACUGGGGCGGUCGCCUCCUAAAUGGUAACGGAGGCGCACAAAGGUUCCCUCCGGCUGGUUGGAAAUCAGCCUGAGAGUGCAAAGGCAUAAGGGAGCUUGACUGCAAGACUGACACGUCGAGCAGGGUGGAAACACGGUCUUAGUGAUCCGACGGCACUGAGUGGAAGGGCCGUCGCUCAACGGAUAAAAGUUA
Molecule: ribosomal RNA, 367 nt
Filed under: uncultured organism
Description: bacterial LSU rRNA
Rfam family: Bacterial large subunit ribosomal RNA
Source: RNAcentral